Molecule: long non-coding RNA, 833 nt
Filed under: Malus domestica (apple)
Lineage: Eukaryota; Viridiplantae; Streptophyta; Magnoliopsida; Rosales; Rosaceae
Description: long non-coding RNA (MDOM_LNC018315)
Source: RNAcentral
UUCACACUGUCUUGAUCAAGGGUGUGUGAAGCUUUUUACGAGUUGUAGUGUUUGCAUUGUUACAGAGGGGAAAUGUUUGAAGCAGAUGCAAGAGGGCUGAAUAGCUUGAUCUUUGUAUGCCAUGCACUGAAGUUGUUGUUGGCUUGCAAUAAGACAUUGUUGGUGACUAUAACUCUUGUUGGGCAAAAGUGCUCCCCUAGUUGAGUUGUCAAGCUUGAGGGUUUUUGAUUAUUUGUGAAUGCUAGGAGUUCACCUGUACAAGUUGUACCCCUCGCCUUCUGGUUAGUGGAAUGAAUGGUGAGUUGCUUUCAUCACUUGGGUGGUGGUACAAAGGUGAGUUCCUUCAUAACCUUUCAUCACAUUUCAUCACCUGGUUGGUGGCACGAGGAUGAGUUCUUUCUUUCCCUGGUUGGUGGCAUGAAUGGCAAGUUGCCAAAUGAUAUUAAAGUAUGGGUUGUACAUUUUGUUGGAAAUGUACCCUAAAACCAAUCAUAUGAUGAUACUCUACGGACAUUUCACAUGUUAAACUAAUCUAGUUUAAUAUCAAGGGCAAAUAUUAUUGUUUGAGCCGUCUCAUAUAAAUGUUAUAUGCUUAAACGAUAAGUCCAAGGAAUAUGUGAUUGGGAGAAUCCAAUCUAAAGAAGUUAGAUUCAUGAGACCAUUCUUUCGUAGACACAUCCUAAAUGUUCCUGAUCAUAGGAUUGCCAAUUGGGCAUUGACAGUCCGUUAAGAUCAGUACGUGUUGUGUCUUCUCUCAAGGAGAGUUACUAGUCUCGAGUCAUUGGUGUGUGUGACAUCAAGACAAGUACGUAGGUGCUCAAUAGAGAAUGAGU